This 712-nucleotide long non-coding RNA is filed under the name Nicotiana tabacum (common tobacco). RNAcentral describes it as "long non-coding RNA (NTAB_LNC013498)". The record is from RNAcentral. Lineage: Eukaryota; Viridiplantae; Streptophyta; Magnoliopsida; Solanales; Solanaceae.
AAAGACUGAAAUGUAUGCCUCUGUUAUCUGGGCGGGCUCCCAACUUCAAUGCUUGAAAUGUAAAGACUGAAAUGUAUGCCUCUGUUCUAUGGGCGGGCUCCCAACUUCAACACUUGAAAUGUAAAGACUGAAAUGUAUGCCUCUGUUCUAUGGGCGGGCUCCCAACUUCAACACUUGAAAUGUAAAGACUGAAAUGUAUGCCUCUGUUCUAUGGACGGGCUCCCAACUUCAAUACUUGAAAUGAAAAGACUGAAAUGUAUGCCUCUAUUCUAUGGGCGGGCUCCCAACUUCAACACUUGGAAUGAAAAGACUGAAAUGUAUGCCUCUGUUCUAUGGGCGGGCUCCCAACUUCAACAUUUGGAAUAAAAAGACUGAAAUGUAUGCCUUUGUUCUAUGGGCGGGCUCCCAACUUCAACACUUGAAAUGAAAAGACUGAAAUGUAUGCCUCUGUUCUAUGGGCGGGCUCCUAACUUCAACAACAACUUUAAAAAUAAACGUCAUUCCUCUCUUCAGGCGGGCUCCUGACUUCAACCAAUAAAUCGUCAUUCUGUUAUUUAGGGGGGCUCCUGACUUCAACCAAUACUUGAACUGUGUGUCUCCGUUCUUCAGGCGGACUCCUGACAUCAGACUUGAAAAGUAUGUCUCUGUUCUCCAGGCGGACUCCUGAUUGCUAAAUUUAAAAUUGAAUGUCUCUAUUCUCCAGGCGGACUCC